Molecule: non-coding RNA, 1644 nt
Organism: Myodes glareolus (Bank vole)
Lineage: Eukaryota; Metazoa; Chordata; Mammalia; Rodentia; Cricetidae
Source: RefSeq, a predicted model, not a curated record
AUUUGUGGCCGAGCGGGUCAGUGGGCGUGGCGUGAGGAGGGCGAGGCCACUGAGGGCGGAGCGUGCAGAGGGCGGGGCCGCCAGGAGGAGCGGCGUUCGGUAGGCGGAGGUGCCAAAGGAUCCCCGGCGAGACCCGGAGGGCGAGGCACGGUGAGGGGCGGGGCCGGUGGAGGGCGUGUGGAGGGGCGGGGCACCCUGGAGAGUGACGUGGCUACACACCGGCUCCCCGAGUCGCCUAGCUGUGUGCGGCCGCGGCCUGACGGGUCUUUCCCGAGUGAGGGGGGCGUGGUUUGACGUGGGCUCCGCCCCAGCGGAGGCCGAUGGUGAACCUGCUACUCUUCUGGGCGGGCGCCUUCAGGUUUCUGCCUCUGUGACCCGGGGACGAGGACCUUCCCCGGGGACCGGGAGGACCAGGCGGUCCAUUUCCGCUAAGGUGAAGCGCUGCAGGCCUUGCACGGGAGCAGCGCCUCGGGACCCGGGGAAAUUCUAGUGAGCCUUCUCAUCUGAGUUCCGGUUUUCCUGGCUCUGCGUUCCUAGAGCUGGUAUUAAAGACAUAAGGACCGCACCCGGCAGGCUUUGGACACUCAUACUCUCUCCAUUUCGAAGAUUUAUUCUUUUUUUAGAACCACCUGCCUCUGCCUCACAAAUGCUUGGACAUUUGUGAGGCAACAUGAAUUAUUCUAUUUUUAAUUAUAUGCGUGUGUGCGCGCACACGUGUGUGCACAAGUGUGCGGGUGCCCUGAGUCACCAGAGGUGUUGGAUCUUCCUUAAGCUAGAGAUACAGGCUGCUGUGAACUGCCCAACACGGUACUGGGAAGCCAAGCAGCAAGUGUUCUUAAUCUUCAAGACGCCUCUCCGUCCCCUAGCCUUGAACAACUGACCGUGACUCUACCUCCCAAGUACUGAGAUUAGGGGAGGUGGGGAGGUGAGCCAUCACUUCCGGUUUAUUAUCCAGUCCUUCAUUUAUGGAAAUAGUACUUGAUCACGACUUAACUAUAUUCCCAAUUUUUCUUCCCUACUAUGGAUAUUAAAAUAGUACAGAUUUUCUUUGUUUUCUUUUUUUUAUUUUUCAAGACAAGAUUUCUCUAUGUAACAGCCCUAAUUAUCCUGGAACUAACUUGUAGAUCAGGCAGGCCUCAGACUCACAGAGCUCUGUCUGCCUCUGCCUCCUGAAUGCUGGGAUUAAAGGCCUGCGCCACCACGGCCCGAGAAUAGUACAGAUUUUGGUAAACCUAUAAGCCCUUUCCGCUUAGCAUUGAAGUUUGAUUUAAAGUGAUAUUGGCUGUACAUACUGUACUUUUUGAUUUAAUAAAAUUAUAUUUUGGUGCAAGGUCAUCAUUAAGAGCACGUUCCUACUGGUGAAAGGUUUUUCUGCCGCCAACCACAUUAAAUACUCGCCAUUUCACACAUUACAUCAGCCGUAAACAGUAAGGCUUUUCUUUUUUUCUCCACAGAAAUCUCCAGUUUACCUGACCCUAAGCAACCUCCUGAAACUGGCUGCUAUUCAGUGUGGACUGUACUCCAUUUCUAUUGCCCAAUACCAACUGCAAGAGCUCUAUUCCUGGUGAUACUUUGAAUUUUAACAUCCAACUAGCUAGCUGUUCUUGUUAUAAUAAAUUUUUGUUUGUUUGUUUUUGUUUUUUC